Molecule: transfer RNA, 85 nt
Filed under: Felis catus (domestic cat)
Lineage: Eukaryota; Metazoa; Chordata; Mammalia; Carnivora; Felidae
Rfam family: tRNA
About the family: Transfer RNA (tRNA) molecules are approximately 80 nucleotides in length. Their secondary structure includes four short double-helical elements and three loops (D, anti-codon, and T loops). Further hydrogen bonds mediate the characteristic L-shaped molecular structure. tRNAs have two regions of fundamental functional importance: the anti-codon, which is responsible for specific mRNA codon recognition, and the 3' end, to which the tRNAs corresponding amino acid is attached (by aminoacyl-tRNA synthetases). tRNAs cope with the degeneracy of the genetic code in two manners: having more than one tRNA (with a specific anti-codon) for a particular amino acid; and 'wobble' base-pairing, i.e. permitting non-standard base-pairing at the 3rd anti-codon position.
Source: Rfam by way of RNAcentral
GCCUGGGUGGCUCAGUCGGUUAAGCGUCUGACUUCAGUUCAGGUCAUGAUCUCACAGCUUGUGAGUUCGAACCGCGCCUCGGGCU